This 465-nucleotide ribosomal RNA is filed under the name uncultured bacterium. Its description in RNAcentral is "bacterial SSU rRNA". It matches the Rfam family "Bacterial small subunit ribosomal RNA", at positions 327 to 804 of the family's 1533-position model. The record is from RNAcentral.
CGCCUUAUACUCCUACGGGAGGCAGCAGUGGGGAAUAUUGCACAAUGGGGGAAACCCUGAUGCAGCGACGCAGCGUGCGGGAUGACGGCCUUCGGGUUGUAAACCGCUUUCAGCAGGGAAGAAGCGCAAGUGACGGUACCUGCAAAAGAAGUACCGGCUAACUACGUGCCAGCAGCCGCGGUAAUACGUAGGGUACGAGCGUUGUCCGGAAUUAUUGGGCGUAAAGAGCUCGUAGGUGGUUGGUCACGUCUGCUGUGGAAACGCGACGCUUAACGUUGCGCGUGCAGUGGGUACGGGCUGACUAGAGUGCAGUAAGGGAGUCUGGAAUUCCUGGUGUAGCGGUGAAAUGCGCAGAUAUCAGGAGGAACACCGGUGGCGAAGGCGGGACUCUGGGCUGUAACUGACACUGAGGAGCGAAAGCAUGGGGAGCGAACAGGAUUAGAAACCCGUGUAGUCCACGUACCA